GCAGCGAUAGCUCAAUCGGCAGAGCAUCGGACUGUUAAUCCGACGGGUGCGGGUUCGAAUCCCGCUCGUUAACA
RNAcentral lists this transfer RNA (74 nucleotides) under Nocardia amamiensis. Its description in RNAcentral is "tRNA-Asn". It matches the Rfam family "tRNA". From Rfam's summary of the family: Transfer RNA (tRNA) molecules are approximately 80 nucleotides in length. The record is from RNAcentral. Lineage: Bacteria; Bacillati; Actinomycetota; Actinomycetes; Mycobacteriales; Nocardiaceae.